This 165-nucleotide ribosomal RNA is filed under the name uncultured bacterium. Its description in RNAcentral is "partial 16S ribosomal RNA". It matches the Rfam family "Bacterial small subunit ribosomal RNA", at positions 355 to 511 of the family's 1533-position model. The record is from RNAcentral.
UAGGGAAUCUUCCACAAUGGACGAAAGCCUGGUGGAGCAACGCCGCGUGUGUGAUGAAAGGUUUCGGCUCGUAAAACGCUGUUGUAAGAGAAGAAUGACAUUGAGAGUAACUGUUCAAUGUGUGACGGUAUCUUUACCAGGAAGGAACGGCUAAAUACGUGCCAG